GGAGGAGCGCCCGAAGUCGCUGUGCCAACCGCAAGGAGGCAGGCGACCACGGUAGGGUCAGCGACUGGGGUGAAGUCGUAACAAGGUAGCCGUAGGUGAACCUGCAGAAGGAUCA
Molecule: ribosomal RNA, 115 nt
Filed under: uncultured eukaryote
Lineage: Eukaryota
Description: partial small subunit ribosomal RNA
Rfam family: Bacterial small subunit ribosomal RNA
Source: RNAcentral